Molecule: transfer RNA, 72 nt
Filed under: Hordeum vulgare
Lineage: Eukaryota; Viridiplantae; Streptophyta; Magnoliopsida; Poales; Poaceae
Description: tRNA-OTHER
Source: RNAcentral
GUAGCGUAGCGCAGUGGUUGGCGUAUUGGGGUUGUACCCGAGAGAUGCAGGGAUCGAAUCCCAGAUGGUGCU